This 28-nucleotide non-coding RNA is filed under the name Mus musculus (house mouse). The record is from RNAcentral. Lineage: Eukaryota; Metazoa; Chordata; Mammalia; Rodentia; Muridae.
UCNGAGAAACAUGCUAUUUGCUUAGGGC